AGCAAUAUAGCUCAGUGGUACAGUGCUUGCCUAGCAUGCCGAAGGCCCUGAGUUCAAUUCCCAGCUACGCAC
This 72-nucleotide transfer RNA is filed under the name Mus musculus (house mouse). RNAcentral's name for it is "tRNA-Ala". Lineage: Eukaryota; Metazoa; Chordata; Mammalia; Rodentia; Muridae. The record is from RNAcentral.